UCGGGAAUCUUGCACAAUGGGCGAAAGCCUGAUGCAGCAACACCGUGUGAGCGAGGAAGGUCUUCGGAUCGUAAAGCUCUGUUGUUGGGGACGAAGGGCGAAGGGUUAAUAGCCCCUAGCCUGACGGUACCCUUCGAGGAAGCCCCGGCUAACUACGUGCCAGCAGCCGCGGUAAUACGUAGGGGGCGAGCGUUGUCCGGAAUUAUUGGGCGUAAAGAGCGUGUAGGCGGCCUGGUAAGUCUGUCGUGAAAUGGUGGGGCUCAACCCUGGACGUGCGAUGGAUACUGCUAGGCUAGAGGAUGGUAGAGGCGAGUGGAAUUCCCGGUGUAGCGGUGAAAUGCGCAGAUAUCGGGAGGAACACCAGUGGCGAAGGCGCUCAACUGGGCCGUAACUGACACUCAGGGACGAAAGCUAGGGUAGCGAAAGGGAUUAGAUACCCCGGUAGUCC
RNAcentral lists this ribosomal RNA (448 nucleotides) under uncultured prokaryote. RNAcentral describes it as "bacterial SSU rRNA". It matches the Rfam family "Bacterial small subunit ribosomal RNA", at positions 355 to 796 of the family's 1533-position model. The record is from RNAcentral.